CGUAACAAGGUCUCCGUAGGUGAACCUGCGGAGGGAUCAUUACACAAAUAUGAAGGCGGGCUGGAACCUCUCGGGGUUACAGCCUUGCUGAAUUAUUCACCCUUGUCUUUUGCGUACUUCUUGUUUCCUUGGUGGGUUCGCCCACCACUAGGACAAACAUAAACCUUUUGUAAUUGCAAUCAGCGUCAGUAACAAAUUAAUAAUUACAACUUUCAACAACGGAUCUCUUGGUUCUGGCAUCGAUGAAGAACGCAGCGAAAUGCGAUAAGUAGUGUGAAUUGCAGAAUUCAGUGAAUCAUCGAAUCUUUGAACGCACAUUGCGCCCUUUGGUAUUCCAAAGGGCAUGCCUGUUCGAGCGUCAUUUGUACCCUCAAGCUUUGCUUGGUGUUGGGCGUCUUGUCUCUAGCUUUGCUGGAGACUCGCCUUAAAGUAAUUGGCAGCCGGCCUACUGGUUUCGGAGCGCAGCACAAGCCGCACUCUCUAUCAGCAAAGGUCUAGCAUCCAUUAAGCCUUUUUUUCAACUUUUGACCUCGGAUCAGGUAGGGAUACCCGCUGAACUUAAGCAUAUCA
Molecule: ribosomal RNA, 570 nt
Filed under: uncultured fungus
Lineage: Eukaryota; Fungi
Description: eukaryotic LSU rRNA
Rfam family: 5.8S ribosomal RNA (bases 208-361)
Source: RNAcentral